UACGUCUCUGCUGCGACGUGUACACGGGUGACUCCUGCUCAUCCAAUCGCCGCUUCAUUCUGAACUCAUGCUCGGGAAGCACUAAAAAACCUCGAAGCGGCGGCGCCCAGCGGAGGCACGCUCCCUCCCGGCUGUGGGCUCGGGGUGGGCGCGGCCCCGCGCUCGGCCCGCGGGGAAAGCGAGGGGCGCGGAUGGGGUAACCGCCGCUCGGCCGCCGCGGCGGAACGCUGCCCGCU
Molecule: long non-coding RNA, 236 nt
Filed under: Gallus gallus (chicken)
Lineage: Eukaryota; Metazoa; Chordata; Aves; Galliformes; Phasianidae
Source: RNAcentral